Long non-coding RNA from Malaclemys terrapin pileata, 2230 nucleotides. RefSeq lists it as uncharacterized. The transcript is spliced from 3 exons. Lineage: Eukaryota; Metazoa; Chordata; Testudines; Emydidae. The record is from RefSeq and is a predicted model, not a curated record.
UCACUUACUCUGGGUCAAUUAAUAAACAAAAGUGAUUUUAUUAAGUAUAAAAAGUAGGAUUUAAGGGGUUCCAAGUAAUAACAGACAGAACAAAGUAAGUUACUAAGCAAAAUAAAACAAAACACGCAAGUCUAAGCUUAAUACAUUAAGAAACUGAAUACAAGUAAAUCUCACCCUUAGAGAUGUUCCAAUAAGCUUCUUUCACAGACUAGACUCCUUCCUAGUCUGGGCCCAAUCCUUUCCCCUGGUACAGUUCUUGUUAGUUCCAGCUCAGGUGGUAACUAGGGGAUUUUUCAUGACUGCAGCCCCCUUUGUUCUGUUCCACCCCCUUUUAUAGCUUUGGCACAAGGCAGGAAUCCUUGGUCUCUCUCUGGGUUCCCACUCCUCCUUCUAAAUGGAAAAGCACCAGCUUAAAGAUGGAUUCUAGUAUCGUGUGACAUGUUCACAUGUCCUGUGAAUCCCCUUCAUUCUUCCAGGACUGGCCCGCACACUUGCAGUGGAGGCUUGCGGGUAAACAGAGCCAUCUACAACCAAUUGUUCUAGUCAGUGGAGCCAUCAAGAUUCCAAACCACCAUUAAUGGCCCACACUUUGCAUAAUUACAAUAGACUUCAGAGUUAUACUUUAUAUUUCUAGUUUCAGAUCCAAGAAUGAUACAGGCAUACAAAUAGGAUGAGCAAACUGAGUAGAUUAUAAGCUUUGUAAUGAUACCUUACAAGAGACCUUUUGCAUGAAGCAUAUUCCAGUUACAUUAUAUUCACACUCAUUAGCAUAUUUCCAUAAAACAUUUGGAGUGCAACAUCACACCCUCUCAUGAACCUACUGCCAGAGUCUUGGACACUGUCCAUGGCGGAGGCAGUACGUGUAAAAUCCCUGUUAGUCUCUGGUUACACACCCUCCCAGUACUUUUAAAUCCUAUGAUGUUGUUUAUAGAUGUUCUUGCAAAGUUCUGGGUCUGCAAGUGCCUGAAAACAUGUUGGGGUGUAGUAUUGCUAACAGAAUGCAGACAGCAAUAUCUGUUAAAGUGUAGGUAUCUUGGCAUUUAGCCACCAAUGCCAUGAGGCAGUGUGCCUCAGUUUCCCCCUCCACACAGCAGUGUAGGCCUGUUAUGCUUUUGCUGCUGUGCCAAGCUUCCAGCCUGUUUACAGGUAUAAGCUGGAAACAACAUGCUUGCGGGAUUGUCUUGUCACCAUUCCUAGCAUGUACAAAAGUUUUUCCCACAAAUCAAGUAUGUCCCACAUCUUUAAAGGGUUUACCAUUAGUAUUAACUCCGUUGUCUUGACCCCUAGAUGAAGUAGCAAAAGACACAAGAUUAACAGCCAGCUUAUGAUGGACAGAUUCCGUUCACACAGCCUGGCUUGCCCAGUGUCCACUGUAUUUCCCAAUCCCUUUGUGUACCAUGGUGGGGGCUCAGACACAGAUUCUCCUGCCUCUCUGGAGAAGGCUCUCAAUUCAGGCAUGUGUUUGAGGUUCUGGCAAGGAAAGGGUGCACUGCAACCAUGCCUGCCCUUGGCCCCUCCCUCUGGAAUCUCUUUGUUUUGGACCCCACCCCCUUGUGAAGUUUUCCUUCUGCCUAUCUUGAAGAGACAGUUUUAUCUCUUACAAGCGUAGCAGGAACAACAUCCUUCAAUGGAGUGCUUUGGAUUGGUUAAGGAGAACAAUUUAUACGUGACGGUGGAUAACGAACUGAUGUCGGAACCCGCGAGUUCUUGGCCUGUGAUUGGAAAAGAACCCAAAACUCCGUUCUUUGCCCCACUCUGCUCUUGUGUACGAAUCGCUAGGCAGUUCUGCCUUCCCUCCGCACCCAGGCCAGCUUGACUCGUGUAAUCCCUUGAAGAGGGGGCGAAGCGUGGCACAUCCUUGCGACACUGCUGCUAGGAAGAGAACUAGGAGAACACCCAACUGCAAAGCACUCAGACAGCUUAAGCUGUUUGUAGCAGGGUGCUGGUGCAAAAGCACCUAAUUAGCCCCUGCCCAGUCAGCUUCAAACAGGGGAGGCAGAUUGGGGCUCAUGGAAAAGGCCUGAUGCCAGCUUGAGGAUUGGCAACACCGGCUAGCCUGACAAGCCAAGGACUAUAAAGGCUGGGAGGGAGCUGGGGGCAGCCAGGGAGAAGUUAGUCAGGGAGAGAACUGGAGGCCUCCUAGCUGAAGGCUGCCUCUGCCUGUGAAGGAGGUGACUAAUUCUGUAAAGAUUGUGUAUAGAUAGACACUGAUGGUGGGAUAAUCUUAAGU